RNAcentral lists this ribosomal RNA (497 nucleotides) under uncultured bacterium. RNAcentral describes it as "partial 16S ribosomal RNA". It matches the Rfam family "Bacterial small subunit ribosomal RNA", at positions 28 to 507 of the family's 1533-position model. The record is from RNAcentral.
GAUGAACGCUGGCGGCGUGCCUAAUACAUGCAAGUCGAGCGAACAGACGAGGAGCUUGCUCCUCUGACGUUAGCGGCGGACGGGUGAGUAACACGUGGAUAACCUACCUAUAAGACUGGGAUCACUUCGGGAAACCGGAGCUAAUCCCGGAUAAUAUAUUGAACCGCAUGGUGCAAUAGUGAAAUACGGUUUUGCUGUCACUUAUAGAUGGAUCCGCGCCGCAUUAGCUAGUUGGUAAGGUCACGGCUUACCAAGGCAACGAUGCGUAGCCGACCUGAGAGGGUGAUCGGCCACCCUGGAACUGAGACACGGUCCAUACGCCUACGGGAGGCAGCAGUAGGCAAUCUUCCGCAAUGGGCGAAAGCCUGACGCAGCAACGCCGCGUGUGAGAUGAAGGUCUUCGGAUCGUAAAACUCUGUUAUUAGUGAAGAACAAAUGUGUAAGUAACUAUGCACGUCUUGACGGUACCUAAUCAGAAAGCCACGGCUAACUACGUG